AUGAGGUCAGGGGUCACGGGGUCAGGAGGUUCAAAGGUCAUGGGGUCAGAAAGGGUCACAAGGUCAGGACUUGAGCAGGUCCCAGGGUCAGGGGUGGCUGGAUCGGGAGGUCAAGGGUCACGGGGUCAGAAAGGGUCAUGGGACACGAAGGGUCACCGGGUCGGGGUCAGGAGGCGUCAUGAGAUCACGAGGUGGCACACGGUCAGGGGUCAUGGGGUCAGGAGAGGUCAUGGGGUCAGGGGUCAGGAGAGGUCAUGGGGUUGGGGUCACGGGGUCAGGAGAGAUCAUGGGGUUGGGGGUCAUGGGGUCAGCAGAGGUCAUGGGGUCAGGAGAGGUCAUGGGGUCGGGGUCAUGGGGUCAGGAGAGGUCAUGGGGUCACGGGGUCAAAGGUCACGGGCGCCCCCCACCUUGGAGCUGAGCGUGCGGAAGAUCCCCUCGAAGGUGCUGCCGCUGCGCACGCGCACCAGGCACGUCGAGCCCUGCCGAUGUGUGGGGCAGACCCAUAGCGCGACCCACGGCGGGACCCAGACCCAUAGCGCGACCCACAGCGGGACCCAGACCCAUAGCGCGACCCAGACCCACAGCGCGACCCACAGCGCAACCCACAGCGGGGCCCACAGCGGGGCCCAGACCCAUAGCGCGACCCAGACCCAUAGCGCGACCCAGACCCAUAGCGCGACCCACAGCGAGACCCAGACCCAUAGCCGAACCCAUAGCAUGACCCAGACCUAUAACAGAACCCACAGCGCGACCCACAGCGGGACCCAGACCCAUAGCGGUACCCAGACCCACAGCGGGACCCAGACCCACAGCGGGACCCACAACAUGACCCAGACCCACAGCGCGACCCAGAGCAGGACCCAGACCCAUAGCGGGACCCAGACCCAUAGCGGGACCCACAGCAGGACCCAGACCCAUAGCGCGACCCACAGCGGGACCCACAGCGGGGCCCAGACCCACAGCAGGACCCAGAGCAGGACCCAGACCCAUAGCGGGACCCAGACCCAUAGCGGGACCCACAGCAGGACCCAGACCCAUAGCGAGACCCAGAGCAGAACCCAGACCUAUAACAGAACCCACAGCGUGACCCACAGCAAGACCCAGCCCCACAGCGAGACCCACAACGUGACUCAAAAUACAACCCAGCCCCAUAGCGAGACCCACAGCGUGACCCAGACCCAUAGCGCGACCCACAGCGGGACCCAGACCCAUAGCGGGACCCACAGUGGGACCCAGACCCAUAGCGGGACCUACAGCGCAACCCAGACCCAUAACAAGACCCAAAGCAUGACCCAGACCCAUAGCAGGACCCAGACCCACAGCGUGACCCACAGCAGGACCCAGACCCAUAGCGCGACCCACAGCAGGACCCAGACCCAUAGCGCGACCCACAGCAGGACCCAGACCCAUAACAGAACCCACAGCGUGACCCACAGCGGGACCCAGACCCAUAGCGCGACCCAGACCCAUAGCGGGACCCACAGCGGGACCCAGGCCCACAGCGGGACUCAGCCCCAUAGCGACACCCAUAGCGAGACCCAGACCCAUAGCGAGACCCACAGCGGGACCCAGACCCACAGCGCGCCCCAUAGCGUGGCCUGGACCCACAGUACGACCCACAGCGUAGCCCAGACCCACAGCAACACCCACAACAUGACCCACAGCAAGACCCAUAAAGCAACCCAGCCCCACAGCACGACCCAGCCCCAUAACGCGACCCACAGCGCAACCCUGACCCACAGCGUGACCCACGGCAAGCCCCAGCCCCACAUCCUGACCCGUAUCCAGCCCGACAUCUGCAACGCGCCCCAUAACGCGCCCCAUAGCGAAGCCCAGACCCACGGCACGACUCCCAACGCCCCUCAGCCCCACAGCCGCCCCAUAGCAGCUCCCCCCCCCCGGCCCCACAGCGCCCCACAUCUCACCACGACGGCCGUCAGGAAGUGCAGCAUCCGGGAGUUGUUGUAGACGCCCUCAAACAUCUGUGGGGCGCGACACAGUGGGGCAGACCCCCAAGUGGGGAACGGAGCGGCUGAACCAACCCCCCCGCCCCAUAACUUAGGGGGCCGCCCCACAACUUGGGGGGCACUCACCGGUGCUGGGGGGGGGCCCUUCCCCGUGCUCUGUCCUCUGGAAGGAAAAAACCCCACAGCGGGGAUGGGGGUCAGCCCCAUAGAUCCCCACAGCGCGCUGCCCCAUAGAUCCACACUGACCCCAUAGCACACUGCCCCAUAGAUCCCCACUGACCCCAUAGG
This 2255-nucleotide long non-coding RNA is filed under the name Numida meleagris (helmeted guineafowl). Its description in RNAcentral is "lncRNA (ENSNMEG00000001949.1)". Lineage: Eukaryota; Metazoa; Chordata; Aves; Galliformes; Numididae. The record is from RNAcentral.